AUUUCACGGAGAGUUUGAUCCUGGCUCAGGACGAACGCUGGCGGCGCGCCUAACACAUGCAAGUCGAGCGAGAACCGGCCCUUCGGGGCCGGGGACAGCGGCGAACGGGUGAGUAACACGUGGGUAAUCUGCCCUCGGUUCCGGGAUAGCCCGGGGAAACCCGGAUUAAUACCGGAUGGCCUCUCGAGCCCUCGAGCUCGCGAGAAAAGGUAGCUUCGGCCUCCGACCGAGGAUGAGCCCGCGGCCGAUUAGCUUGUUGGUGAGGUAACGGCUCACCAAGGCGACGAUCGGUAGCUGGUCUGAGAGGACGAUCAGCCACACUGGGACUGAGACACGGCCCAGACUCCUACGGGAGGCAGCAGUGGGGAAUC
Molecule: ribosomal RNA, 371 nt
Filed under: Actinomycetes bacterium
Lineage: Bacteria; Bacillati; Actinomycetota; Actinomycetes
Description: bacterial SSU rRNA
Rfam family: Bacterial small subunit ribosomal RNA
Source: RNAcentral